ACAAAGGUUCUGGAUCUCUGAGUCCCCAGAGUUAGAAGCUGGCUCUGCAGCUCCUGAUCCCCCUCUGAGGAGUCCUCAGGAACCCCAAAGACCCCAGCUCCUCUGGUGAUCCUGGGUUGCAGCCUCCACCCCAGCUCUCCUCCAGGAAAUGGAAGAGAUCCCUGCUCCCUUUGUAGAUGUCACAGAGUGGACUUGCCAACCUGGCAGGGAGGUCUUCUAGCUACUUCUACCAGUGUGGAAACACAGUCUCAGAGAGGGAGAGUUUCUUGCCCAAGGCACACAGCGACUUGGUGUAAAGACUGUGUCUUGGGACUUACUAAUAGCAAUCAAAGACCUGGAGGACCAGCCUUUUUGGACAUGAGGUGGAGCCAGCCUGGAACUGGAGGGUGGAGUUUUGGGAGGUUUCUGUUCUUUAACCUCCACCAGCUGCCUGGAGUGCAGCUGUAAGGGGAGAAUCCAGUAGGGGGCAGAAGAGACCAGCAGUAGAGGAAGCCUGAGGAGGAACUGGCUGGAGCUCUUCAGAAGAGAAAGGCCAAGACCCAGGGGAGGGCUCUGGUGGCCGGGCAGAAGGCGGUGCAGGGGCCUGACUCUGGUUUUGCAUCCCUGUGGGUACUCACUCACCUGUGGGACUGUGGGUAGGACCAAGAACAAAACCACUGAGCCUGCAAUGAAUGUUUGUGCUGAGGACCGAGACCAGCUGUGUCAAUGUUAACUGCUGGUUCCAGGAUACUCUUUCCCAGGUGGAUGAGGGUGAAAACAAUAAAGAAUGUCACUCAUUGCUUCAGGGAAUUCCUGAAAACCAAUUAUCCAGGUGAUCCUGGCCCUCUGUCCCAAAGCCACAGACGCUGCAGGCAACUGAGUCCGCUCAGAGGAGGCCACUGAGCCUACAAGAUAGGACAGGAGAGAUUGAGCUAUAAAACCAUGACAAGUGCAUGGAGCAGCUAUUUGAGCACCAGGAAAGGAAAUGGUACGCAGCAGUUUGGGAUGGCCCCAGCAGAUGAAAUACAACAGAGUCAGUGUGAGACUGCUGGAUUUCCUCACUGUCCCCUGGCUGGGACUCCAGACAGCCCCAAACCUGAAGGGGCACAAACCUGAAAACAAAAAGAAGUCCAGAAAGCCCUCUUGUUCAGGAUCGAACUUGGGAAAGAAAACUUAUUUGGCUCAAAGUGAAGGCUCAGUCCCCUGCACAAGCAGGUGGUUCACACCUGUGUUCUCAUCUCUCUUAUACCAGCGCCUCUCCCUGGGUUCACACUGAUGUCCUAUGGAUGGAGACGGGGCUUCCUGCACCAGGUCACUCCACAGCCCCUGUAACCUGAAGCCCUGCAGACCAGCCUUGUUCAAUCACAAUGUGAUGUGAGCCUCAUGGGAAUCCCACUGUCUAGUCAUCAUGUUAUAAAUACAAAGAGAAGAAGUCAAUGAGUUUAAAUAAUGUAUUUUAUUUACCUAGCAUAUCAAAAAGAGUAUCAUUUUCAUAUAUAAUCUAAGUACAAUUAUUUAUGAUAUAUAUCAUAUACUUUGCAUGGCUAUUGUUAUUAUUUUUUGAAGAAUCUUUAUGUGGAGA
RNAcentral lists this long non-coding RNA (1561 nucleotides) under Homo sapiens (human). RNAcentral describes it as "HSALNT0405106". The record is from RNAcentral. Lineage: Eukaryota; Metazoa; Chordata; Mammalia; Primates; Hominidae.